GAACCCGAACGGAUCUGAAUCACUAAAACCGAACCCGAUCCAACGGAUUUCGGAUCGGGUUCGGGUUUUAUCCAAACCCGAAAAUUUGCAAAUUUUUUUAUCUGAAAAUUGAACUACAAAACACCUGAAUUUGAAAUAUGCUCAAAUAAUCAAGCAAACCACAAUAUCAAGCAACACGAAUUUAAACAUACACUCCGUGAAAUACUCCAAAACAACCACAAUAUCAAAGUACAUUAUAGAUCUUAUAUAAAGCGGAGGCGGCGCUCGGACUCGGAGAAGUUGUAGGCGGAGCUCGGACUCGGAGAAGUUGUAGGCGGAGCGAACCGCAGGCGGGGCGGCGAGUUAAAAGGUGAAGCGGCGACUUGAGUUGAAGGGCUGAAGAGUGAAGGCGGCGACUUGGUCUGUGAAGAGUGAAAUUAGGAGUUCGUGUAAUUGUGUCUACGACUCUACAGAUCUACUGUCUAUGUUAUGUGAAUAAUUGGACUAAUA
RNAcentral lists this long non-coding RNA (489 nucleotides) under Daucus carota (carrot). RNAcentral describes it as "long non-coding RNA (DCAR_LNC002658)". The record is from RNAcentral. Lineage: Eukaryota; Viridiplantae; Streptophyta; Magnoliopsida; Apiales; Apiaceae.